This 31-nucleotide non-coding RNA is filed under the name Mus musculus (house mouse). The record is from RNAcentral. Lineage: Eukaryota; Metazoa; Chordata; Mammalia; Rodentia; Muridae.
UAGGUCAUACCAUGUCAGAAAAAAAAUGGGC